Molecule: long non-coding RNA, 748 nt
Organism: Camelina sativa (false flax)
Lineage: Eukaryota; Viridiplantae; Streptophyta; Magnoliopsida; Brassicales; Brassicaceae
Source: RefSeq, a predicted model, not a curated record
AGGAAAAAAAUAAAUCAGUUAAAUCAAAAAAAUAUAAGAGAGCCCGUAAAUUAGUAUCCUCAUUUAUGGAAUAAGAGCUAAUACGUGUCACGUUUGUGUUGGCCAAAUAAGAAAUAGAAGUAGAAUUUUUUUUUUUUUGACGGACAAUCGAAUAUUUUUUUUCUUUCCUCUCUCUUUUUCUUUUUCUCUCGAUCGAAGUCCAGAAUUGUCAAAUGAAGAAGAAGAAAUCAAACGACAUAGAAGCAGAGAAGAUUGGGAUCGGAAGAGAUUGAAUCUGGUUGGUUUGAUAUUUGAGUUUGGAGUCGAUUCAUUCGGUUGAGGUUAAAGCAAUUGGAAUCGGAGGAUAAGUUUCUCUAUUUAGUAGUAUGAAUUUGCGAUUAGGGACGAAGUGGAAUUGAUAAUGGUGUUGGUUGUUCCUUUUCUCCUAGUGUCAUCACCACAUUGAUAUAGGUCUUCCCAAAGGCACCUUCUCUUCUUAUUGACACUUUUGUAGUCAUUCCAUCACUGAUCGAUUGAUGAUGCUUUUAUUUGAUGAAUCUUUUUUUUCUCACACUUCUGCAGAACUUAAAGAGGUUUGUUUUUAAAUUAGUCUUUUUAUUUCUUUCAAACACACGUUGGAAGAAACUUAUGCGUUUAAAUUCACUUUAUUUUUGAUAUUUUCUUUUGACUUUCUUUAUAUGUAAGCAGACAAAAUUUGGAGGAUACAAAUUAAUCAUUUUUAGUUUUUAUGAUUUGUACUUCUAUUUUA